GGGGCUGUAGCUUAGCGGGGAGAGCGCCUGCUUUGCACGCAGGAGGUCAGGGGUUCGAAUCCCCUCAGCUCCACCA
RNAcentral lists this transfer RNA (76 nucleotides) under Chloroflexota bacterium. Its description in RNAcentral is "Chloroflexi bacterium (hot springs metagenome) tRNA-Ala". It matches the Rfam family "tRNA". Rfam says of the family: Transfer RNA (tRNA) molecules are approximately 80 nucleotides in length. Their secondary structure includes four short double-helical elements and three loops (D, anti-codon, and T loops). Further hydrogen bonds mediate the characteristic L-shaped molecular structure. tRNAs have two regions of fundamental functional importance: the anti-codon, which is responsible for specific mRNA codon recognition, and the 3' end, to which the tRNAs corresponding amino acid is attached (by aminoacyl-tRNA synthetases). tRNAs cope with the degeneracy of the genetic code in two manners: having more than one tRNA (with a specific anti-codon) for a particular amino acid; and 'wobble' base-pairing, i.e. permitting non-standard base-pairing at the 3rd anti-codon position. Lineage: Bacteria; Bacillati; Chloroflexota. The record is from RNAcentral.